This 449-nucleotide ribosomal RNA is filed under the name uncultured bacterium. RNAcentral describes it as "partial 16S ribosomal RNA". It matches the Rfam family "Bacterial small subunit ribosomal RNA", at positions 29 to 523 of the family's 1533-position model. The record is from RNAcentral.
AAUGAACACUGGCGGCAGGCCUAACACAUGCAAGUCGAACGGAUCCUUCGGGAUUAGUGGCGGACGGGUGAGUAACGCGUGGGAACAUACCCAAAGGUACGGAAUAGCCUCGGGAAACUGGGAGUAAUACCGUAUGUGCUCGAAAGAGGAAAGAUUUAUCGCCUUUGGAUUGGCCCGCGUUGGAUUAGGUAGUUGGUGGGGUAAUGGCCUACCAAGCCGACGAUCCAUAGCUGGUUUGAGAGGAUGAUCAGCCACACUGGGACUGAGACACGGCCCAGCCUCCUACGGGAGGCAGCAGUGGGGAAUCUUAGACAAUGGGGGAAACCCUGAUCUAGCCAUGCCGCGUGAUCGAUGAAGGCCUUAGGGUUGUAAAGAUCUUUCAGGUGGGAAGAUAAUGACUGUACCACCAGAAGAAGCCCCGGCUAACUCCGUGCCAGCAGCCGCAGUAA